GAUGAACGCUGGCGGCGUGCCUAAUACAUGCAAGUCGAGCGAACAGACGAGGAGCUUGCUCCUCUGACGUUAGCGGCGGACGGGUGAGUAACACGUGGAUAACCUACCUAUAAGACUGGGAUAACUUCGGGAAACCGGAGCUAAUACCGGAUAAUAUAUUGAACCGCAUGGUUCAAUAGUGAAAGACGGUUUUGCUGUCACUUAUAGAUGGAUCCGCGCCGCAUUAGCUAGUUGGUAAGGUAACGGCUUACCAAGGCGACGAUGCGUAGCCGACCUGAGAGGGGGAUCGGCCACACUGGAACGGAGACACGGUCCAGACUACUACGGGAGGCAGCAGUAGGGAAUCUUCCGCAAUGGGCGAAAGCCUGACGGAGCAACGCCGCGUGAGUGAUGAAGGUCUUCGGAUCGUAAAACUCUGUUAUUAGGGAAGAACAAAUGUGUAAGUAACUAUGCACGUCUUGACGGUACCUAAUCAGAAAGCCACGGCUAACUACGUG
Molecule: ribosomal RNA, 497 nt
Filed under: uncultured bacterium
Lineage: Bacteria
Description: partial 16S ribosomal RNA
Rfam family: Bacterial small subunit ribosomal RNA
Source: RNAcentral